Molecule: ribosomal RNA, 123 nt
Filed under: Sorex araneus (European shrew)
Lineage: Eukaryota; Metazoa; Chordata; Mammalia; Eulipotyphla; Soricidae
Source: RNAcentral
GUCUGGUCCAGUUCUGUUCUGAGGUUAACAUGCCCGAUCUCGUCUGAUCUUGGAAGCUAAGCAGGGCUGGGCCUGGUUAGUACUUGGAUGAGAGACUGACUGGAAUACCGGGUGCUACAUGCA